UAAUACGUAGGGGGCAAGCGUUAUCCGGAUUUAUUGGGCGUAAAGAGCUCGUAGGCGGCUGAUCGCGUCGGUUGUGAAAGCUCAGGGCUCAACCCUGAGACGCCAAUCGAUACGGAUCGGCUAGAGGUAGGUAGGGGAAAGUGGAAUUCCUGGUGUAGCGGUGAAAUGCGCAGAUAUCAGGAGGAACACCGGUGGCGAAGGCGGCUUUCUGGGCCUUACCUGACGCUGAGGAGCGAAAGCUGGGGGAGCAAACAGGAUUAGAUACCCUGGUAGUCCCAGCCGUAAACGUUGGGUGCUAGGUGUGGGGAGGUCUUCAACCCUUUCCGUGCCGCAGCUAACGCAUUAAGCACCCCGCCUGGGGAGUACGGCCGCAAGGCUA
This 379-nucleotide ribosomal RNA is filed under the name uncultured bacterium. Its description in RNAcentral is "bacterial SSU rRNA". It matches the Rfam family "Bacterial small subunit ribosomal RNA", at positions 521 to 896 of the family's 1533-position model. The record is from RNAcentral.